This 90-nucleotide transfer RNA is filed under the name Thalassobaculum litoreum DSM 18839. RNAcentral describes it as "tRNA_Ser_GCT". It matches the Rfam family "tRNA". Rfam says of the family: Transfer RNA (tRNA) molecules are approximately 80 nucleotides in length. Lineage: Bacteria; Pseudomonadati; Pseudomonadota; Alphaproteobacteria; Rhodospirillales; Thalassobaculaceae. The record is from RNAcentral.
GGAAGGGUGGCAGAGCGGCAAUGCGUCGGCUUGCUAAGCCGUAGCCUGGGCUGAGUUCCAGCGCGGGUUCGAUCCCCGCCCCUUCCGCCA